Long non-coding RNA from Gorilla gorilla gorilla (western lowland gorilla), 1048 nucleotides. RefSeq lists it as uncharacterized. Lineage: Eukaryota; Metazoa; Chordata; Mammalia; Primates; Hominidae. The transcript has 2 exons. The record is from RefSeq and is a predicted model, not a curated record.
CAUUGAAAAAAUACAACAAAACACUUCUUCCAUUUCAAAGAUCAGAAAAACACUAAAGCUUUUCAUUCCCGUUGUUAUGGAGGGCCACAUCUGCCAGAGCCUAGAGUCUGCGAAGGCCGGGACCCGGUUCCCCGGCCCACCGUGGGGGUGUGCAAACCCGAGAGAACUGGUCGCUGAAACCUCUACAACUUAGUUGACCGUAACUGCCAGAGCCCUGCCCUGAAUUCCUGUCCUUACUCCCUCUUUAAGAUUGCGUACCCACUGCAGAGUGCUGGAGACGGGGUAGCCACGAGGUUGCAAAUUCGUGAAGAAUCAGCAUCAUGUUUGGCAGCUGAGUAUUGGAGCCAGGAGCUUGCCAUGAGGUUAUAUUCCCAGAGGAUGUCAGUCCCAAGGACCAGUAGCUGCCAUCAGUUUGGAUUCUGAAAACUAACCGGCAUCAACACUGGGUGUAGAAACAUGCUUGCCUUAUGUAUCAGAGGACAUGCUCAGCAGAUCCAAGAGAUAUAUUUGGCAACUUUUUCUAGAAAAGGCACAUUGGGUAUCAUUCAUUACAUUCUUGAGUUUUUUUGGGUUUUUUUUUUUUUUUUUUUUUUUGAGACAGUCUUGCUGUAUUGCCCAGGCUGGAGUGUGGUGGCACAAUCACAGCUCAUUGCAUCCUCAAUCACCCAGGCCUAAGCAAUCCUCCCACCUUGUAGCUGGGACUACAGCUCACAGCACACCUGGCUAAAUUUUUUUUUUUUUUUGAGAUGGAUUCUCUAUGUUGCCCAGGCUGGUCUGAAGCUCCUGGGCUCAGAUGGUCCUCCUGCCUCAGCUUCCAAAGGCACAGGCCAAGUUGUAGCUUUGUCCCUUGCCAUCAUGCCCAACAAGAGGUUCUAUACCUUUUAAUGAAUUGACUUUCAUAAAUUGGUUAUGUUGGUGGGCAAGUUCUUUAAGCUGGAAAUUGUAAAUUCCUCCUGAAAUGUUUUUUCAUGCAGUUGCCAUGAACUAAUACUACAAUAAAGGAUGGUCUUGGGUGUCAAAAAAAAAAAAAAAAAAAAAAAAAGAAAAA